UUUGAAUCAUAUAGCGAUAUGAUAAGUGUGACGGGAGCUUACAGAAGAGUUCGAUUGUUCAUUUAUCCAUUCAGUUUCAAUCGCGUUGCUGAAGUAAUGUAUCUCCAUUGGAGCCAAAGGGUAUGGAAAUCCCCAAAGCAUUUUUGAUUCCUCGCCAAUGUAGACGAAAGAAGUGAAAGGCUGCAACUGUUUUUAAGCUCCGCGUUCGGGUCUUUGAAUCGCAAACCUGAUUUAAUGGGUUAGAAAAUCGAUCACAUCGUUUUCCCGCAGAACUAGGGACCUAGUUGGAAACCAGCCUUUCUUUAAUUAUGGAAAGUAAGGUCUAUAAAGGUUCAAAAUCUGAUUUUACGGAAUUCGCUUAAAAUAAUAGUAGAAAUAAGAAAAAUUAAGAAAAAUUGGAACGGUACAAAAAAGUGCAACCUGUUUCUGGAAUUCUACAUGUAAGAUUUUACAUUUCACUAAUGAAGCAUACUUGUAGCAUACUUUUUGGGUUAAAAUUUCAUAUAUGAACGAUCCGGAAAGUAUGCAUAAGUAUUUUGAAUGCAGAAAAACUGGAUAUAUUGCAUAUCUCUCGCUGACAAUUAAUCCAACAAUUAAUAAUUCAGGAUACCAUAUUGAUUUGCAUAGCUGACACAUUUUCCACCGCGUUAUCCCUUUUGCGAAUCCUCAAAGCAGAGGACCGACUCUGCCUACUGCAGAUUGCAUGUGUGCACUCACACACACACAAAUAUGUAUGUGUCUUUGCAAUUAGCAGCGCUUUAUUUGCUGGUGUUGCUGGGGCGUUGCUGUUUUUGCCGCUGCCACCAGCGGUGGCAUGCUGCUGACAAAUGGAAAGCCAUAUGAGGCAAACUGGCCUGUGUAGUCGUACAAUGACCCACAUUGCGAUGCGCUUUUAUUAGACACGCGAGGCGCAAAAACAAAGGGCUCGACAAUGAGCCCAGGAAUCCAAAGUCCGUAUUCUGUAUUCCGGAUUCCGGACAAUGGCCCAACAAGGAGACGAAGAGGAGAACAACGCCACGACGCCGUCAUCGCCACGCAAACAAAACAAAGGCAAUGGAAAUGUGGCUCACACAGGACAUUAAACCCGUUGUGGUAAAAUAUUAAACACAUUUUCCCAUGCAAUUUUAUGUCCUUUGAACUAAUUCAUAUUCUCAAACUAUUGAAAUCAAAGUUGUUUCGUCACACCAGUCAAUAAAAAUCUCUUUUCUUUUUAUUUAUAAUAACACAUGUACACUGCCCAAAAACCUCCAAGAGGAUGUCCUUAGAAAAAAGACGUUCUUCUAAUAGGGUUGAAGUAAUAGAGGUUGUGGUGCGGCCCAAAAAGUAUUAUCCAGUGGGUCGUGACCGAACCGAAGAUGGCCGUGAUAAAAUUUUUGUCAGUAAAUAUGAAAAGUUUCGGAUAUUCAAAAAUGUGAUUAUCCUUUCUCUGGCCAUGAUGACGCAAUAUGUGGCCUACCAGGGCACCCUCAACCUGCAGUCAUCGCUUAAUGCCGAAGAUGGCUUGGGCACAAUCGCGUGUUCCUGCAUCUAUUUGAGCAUGGGACUAUCCUGCUUGUUCCUUCCGACCCUCAUGAUCCGUCAGCUGACCUGCAAGGGGACCCUGGUGCUAGGAAUGUUUUGUUUUCUUCCCUAUAUCGGCUUGCAACUCUUUUCAAGAUUUUAUACUUUGGUGCCGGCUGGCAUUCUACUUGGUUUGGCCGCUGCCCCCAUGUGGGCAGCUCAGGCCACCUACCUCACCCAGAUCAGUCAGAUAUAUGCCAUUAUCACCUCUUCAAGUGUGGACGCCGUGAUAACUCUGUUCUUCGGAAUAUUUUUCUUUGCUUGGCAAAAUGCCGAUACCAUAGGUAAUCUGCUCUCCAGCUUAGCCCCACCGACCCACUGGCCCUCCCACCACUGACUGGAUAAAUUUAUGCAAAUUGUGCGUGGUGUGAGAUGCGAACGAACAUGAGGCAUAAAUUGGCUUAUUGCGCUAUAAAUUGUAUUUAUUUUGAUGAAAUUUACACAAGGCAUGAACGAAACGCCAUGAAUCCAUGUUUGCCCGUUCACAUAUAUAUUUAUUCCAGCCGCUGCCCCAUCAGAUCUUAAAGCUCCGAGUCAUAUAUUUAAGGUUCUUUAUAAUGAACCGCAAUGCAGAAAACGCCUUGAUAAGAAAUUAAAUAUAAAAUGCGUGGGAAAAUGCUUCGGGUUUGCGACGAAAACGGAAAUGAGAUGCUUGUACAUGUUUCUUUUUUUCUUUUUUUUAUACACUUGGAAAAAAAAUGUUUAAAAGUCAAAAGGAAACUCAAUCUGUACAAGCAAAUCUUCUUUUUUUGGAUUAGAAGUUAUUUGUUUCUAAAAAUUUUUAUUUUAUUGCUCCUGGAUAGCCUCAGAUUAUUUUUUUCCAGUGCAUCGAAUUCUCAGCUAAGCGACAUUGAUGUUUAUGGAUUUUGAUUGCCCCCGCCUCAUCAUCUCACCAUCGUCCUAGGGCCAGGAGCGAUGCCAGGAUAAGCACGCUUCCCUGCACAGGGGCCACAUUGUCGCCUUGGCACGCCCCCUCGCCCCCACUGCGUCGCUCCCCGCGCUCCUCGGCCCCUCUUCCAACAUCGCAACAUUUAAUGAAUAUCGAAAUUGGCAAUUUCAAUAUUAAAGCGAUUUCGCCAGGCUAUAUGAGCUGUGCCAUGCCCGAUAAGAUUAGACCGAGAUGGCACCCCGUCCAUAUCCUUAUUCGGAUACAUAUAUUAGUGCGUGUGCAUAUGUGUGGGUGGUGGUGGUGUGGUGGAGCUGGAGCUGGAGGGGCUGGAUGUACUUAGUCGAUUCGAAAGUCAUUGGCGUGUAAAUUACGCCAGUCAUGAUGUUUUCCAUGCUUCGAUUUGAUGAUGCGGAAAAGUAAAACCACAAAAUCUGGUGCCCCAUUGGAGCUCCAGCGUAAAUCCCCCUUUAGUCCCGGACUCUGUGGCUCUGGAUAUGCAAAUGACAAUGCAGUUUCGGUUGUGUUUUCUUUUUCUAGAAUUAAUCAAGCAGCCAACCACUCGAACGAGUAAAUUGUUAUCCAGCCAGGGGAUCCAUUUCCCCUUCCUUGCCACCCCAAACUUUUCAAUCUAAUUGGCCAGCAGCUGCUGGGGACCCAUAUUCAUCUCUCUGUGGCACGAACGGCGGAAGGGGGGAUUCUUUAGUGUUUUGACUGCCAUUUGUAGUUGAGCCAGAACUCAUAAAAUCCAGUCAAGAGUUGUUACUGUCUAGUUACAUUCUGGGCAGACGAAGUCGGGCUAAGCCCUGGGGUUGGAUGUGAUUUUGGGGGACGGAGGCACUCCGGCCAGAGAGAUUCGUGAUGAAAUUUGCAACCACCGGAAUAAAAAGCAUCAGUAGCCGGCUUCAAUGUACAUAAACGGGAAUUAAUUUCCAACAAAAUGACAAGGCAAACGACUAACAUCGGAAGGGUGGGGCCCCAACAAGCCAAACUCAACUGAAGGAAUUCGAGGCAUUGAAAGGGUUAAGGGUAAAACAUCCUCAAAUGGAAUAAGGAAAACAACUGAGGUAGCACAGAAAACCCGCAAAAGAUCCUUUAACAACUUAAUUAAUUAAUGAAACGAAAACAUUUACAAAAUAAAGGGUGGGGAUUCUUUUUAUUUUAAAUUCAAAAAAGGCUUACACAAUCUCUAAUUAAACUAUCUGCAUUGCCUGUUUUUUGCUGGUCGUAUUACUCUAAAAUGAAUACUUUUUCUUACCCUUUAUUAUAUAAAUAUAAAUUCUUUAGGCCAACUUCCUCCAUUUGGCUAAAGAGGAAAAAAUCAAUCAACGCAACUGCAAUCACAUUUCGCUCGUCGAGCAAUCAACAUCCGUUACAUUAAUUUGAUGUUGCCCCUGCCACACUACCACGCACCAUCGUCGGCUAACAAUAUUAAAAUCCUUAUCAAAUCGAAAUUAAAAACCAGUUGAAAUUGCUUCCUUCGUCCUCCGUCUUCCACCGUUUCUGCACAAUUUCCAUUCCGGCAACAACUACAGUUCAUCUGGCAGCAGGAACCAGAAAUCACGGACCCCUUGGCCUGGCCCGGACCCAUAAAACUUAAAAUAAAUAUGCAGCGUGUGCCUCGGACUCUUCUGUGUCUCUGUGAGUGUGCGAGUAUCUGCCUGCCUGUGUAACCGAUAACAUCAUUAUUGAUGAAGCUUUGGCCAGAAGUCACAUCCAGCCCAGCCAGCCAGCCAGCCAUCCAGCCAACCAGCCAGCAAAUGGCAGAAAAGCAGAAAGGCAACUCGAACAGAUUGCAGAAAUGUGCGCCCAAGGAGCGCCGCAGACUCACAUUCAGAGAUAUAGAUGGAUAUAGAGGUCACCAUGCCACUCGCUGCUCCGGAACUUCCUCCUUUUCAAAGGACCUCAUUCGGGGGUGGAAAGCAGUCUCGUUUAGAGAUUGGAAAUCGUAGACAUCCUCGGCAUCGGCAUCGCCAUCGCCACCACCGUUGCAGUGGCAGUCGUCGUCGUCGUAAUAACUGUAAUUGAUUUUUGAUUUGUGAUUUAAUUUAACACAGUUAAAUGAAUUGAAGUGGGAAGAUGCCGGGGCUCAGGAAUGCUAUGGGGCUCAGGAAAAGGGCAGACCCAGGGAAAUCGUCCUGGCCAGAGGUGGCAAGUUAAGCCAGGGGCUGGGCUCGAGUAAAUAGGUGAUGAAAUGAAAAAGUCCUCUGAAUCUAUAAGGAUUUGCGUUCUUGUCAGUUCUGAAUUGGACAAAUAUUAAUAAUCAUAUUACUUUCAGAUAGAAAAACGCAGAUGACUUGACACUAUGUUUUUGACGUGAGAAUAUGUUUUUAAGUUAUCUGAUUUAUAUAUUUGUAUAUUUUUUAGAGAUUUGAUUUUUCAUAUAAAAUUUAUUCUAAUGCUUUAAUACUUUUCAGGAAUUCAAAACUUCUCCAUUUUCUUUACAGAUCCAGCCUCUUGUCACAAUUGCUCAUUUCUUAAACCAUUUUAUUUUAACUCCCCAGUUUAUGAAUAAAUAUUAUAUUAUUUUCUAUCCACAGCAAGGAAACUAUCGGGAACAGGAAAAAUACGAACAACUGGCAAAGGACUUGGCGGCUGCUAAGGGAAAUGAAAGGGACGCUAAGCUGGCCAAGGAGCAUGCCGAAAUAUAUAGCAAAAAAAUUAAACAACAGGCCGAGGACUCCGACGGGGAAGAUGACGACCUGGAUCAUGAUGUGAGGGUGGAGGACAGAGCUAAGAGGAUGUUCAAAUGUUUCUUCUCUCGGAAAAAAUGACAUAGAACAUAAAAUAUUAUUAAUACCGAGAUAGUUUUUUCGAACCACGCCUGCAAGGACAACGAAGGAGCCCUAUAAUUGCCACCCACAAAAAAACCCGAAAAAAAUCCAGCACACGAGCGGGGGAGCUGCAAUGGCAAUUACUUGGCGUUGAUGAUGGCCCAAGAUGCCUUCAGUUUUCACUGCAUUCGCAUCCUGGCAUCGAAGCCGGGUGAGGAGAAGGUCGUGGGACCGUAAAAGGACAAUGCUUUGAUUGCCCUGUGGAAGAUAAAGGAGAGACACGCCAGACGUUGUUAAUGUCUGGUCAUGAGUUAAACACUUCAAUAAAACGUGAGCGUGUGUGUAAGAGUGCUCUGGCCAGGGCUAUAAAACAAUUGUUUCACCAUAUUUAGUCCUUGGGCGGAAACCGAAUUAUAUUACACAUACGACACGUUGGCAUGUAUAGAGGGGGCUUUCUCGCCUGCAAAUAAUAAAAAUGAAAAGGAAUUCAAGAAGUUUUUGCAGCCACCUUAACAUUAUCAAAAACUAUUAAACUAUAAUUAUUUUUUAAAGCCUCUCUUUCCUAUAGUCUUCAGAUUUAAAGCCAUAGCCAAUAAAUCGUAAACAUUUCCGUAACCAACACAAAGGAGCUAAACAAA
RNA transcript from Drosophila ananassae, 5858 nucleotides. It is a transcript of the gene named UNC93-like protein, with no coding region annotated. NCBI's taxonomy places the organism in Eukaryota, Metazoa, Arthropoda, Insecta, Diptera, Drosophilidae. The record is from RefSeq and is a predicted model, not a curated record. The transcript has 5 exons.